Molecule: long non-coding RNA, 611 nt
Organism: Microplitis mediator
Lineage: Eukaryota; Metazoa; Arthropoda; Insecta; Hymenoptera; Braconidae
Exons: 2
Source: RefSeq, a predicted model, not a curated record
ACUCCGUGAUAACUUUUGGUCUCGUAAAAUUAAAAAUCUAGUAAUUUUCCAUCGUUAUUUAUUUUGCAAAGUUGAAGUUUACAUUUAUUAGUUUAUAAGAUAAAUUUUAUCAGAAAAAAAUAUUUAUCAUCGGAAACGUCGAAGGACAUAACAGUCAAUAUAUAUAAAGGUUGGUAAUUCGCGGAUCAGUAACAAAGAAGCUUGCAGAACAAUCGGUAAUAUAUAAUAAUUGCUUAUAUAUUUUUAAUUAUAAUUUUUAUUCUAUUGAAUUUACGAAUAAAAAAGUAAAAUAUUUUUUCAAGAUUUAAAAUAACAAAAUGUCGAAAAUAACUUUAAUAUUAUCAAUUUUCGUAUUGAUUGUUAUCUGUUCUGGUGCGUAUGCAGCAUGUCCUGGCGGUUGGUGCCAUCCAUCACAAGGAUAUGGCUGCUGUGAAGGACAUAUAUGCAGUUCGCAUUAUUUUCAAGGUACAUGUUUAACCGAUAAGGAAUGGGAGGAGAGAAACUCGGGGACAGUAAUAAUAUAGGAUCAGGAAAAUAAUCACAACAAUACAGUGAAGAUUUUAAAUGUAUUGUACCAAUUAAUAAAAAUCACUGUCUUACGAAAAAAAUUA